UCCGCACGCAUGAUUUUGGAGGAGCGAUCCCCCGUGCGUCCCAGCGCUGGAAAUAAACAUACCUACUUUACUACUUCUUUAGUAGUGGAGUUCUGUCCGCUCAUCAGAAUUUUUGGCUGAUAAGGGACAGAAAAGUCUAAAAUAUUGAAAAUUUCCCUAAGAUGGGAAAACCAUUUCUGCAGGAUGCUGGUCCUACUCUGGAGCACACAGAUGUUCCUCAUCCAGAGGGGUUCAGUGCAGCAAUACGGGAAACCACUCAGGUUGUUCCCAUCACUGCCAAGGAACACAUGUGCUGGUUUUCAGCCUAACCUUCCAUAAAAUAAUGGGAUAAACAACAAGCUGGUAGUUUUGUCUGUCACACGAAGAACCAAAGCUUGCUACUCCCUCUUUAUCUCCUGGUAGCUAUAGGUCCUCUUUUGGUCUUCAGUGGGGCUGUGAAUUCCCUUGGGCAGGGUGUUUCUCAUUGCCCCAUGCUGGUGCAGAUGCUGGUCCAGCAAGGUGCUGGCCUAGAGCUUGGCAGUGCUGUACUGAAGUAUGUGAAGUGCUCCAUGGCUUGGCUGUCUUGAAUAACUGUGUCACUAAGAAAUAUAUUCAAUUUUAUAUUAUUUAACACCUCUGCUUUCUGUGCCUCCAUAGAUGGUUGUUUAUUACCCACAGCCAGAGAUGGUUUUGGCCCUCAGCACAAUAAAUCAAGCUCUUUUUAGGACAGCCUCAAGAAUUUCUGGAGUGGUUUCAGCUCCCCCAGAACCACAGUGUGACUCAACAUAGUGAACAGAAAACCAGACUUUCCCAGUGUUCUGUGGACAGGUAAUGGAGCUGGAGAGAGCAGCUGGUGUGUUUGUGGAAGAGGAUGCAAGUUUUGAGGGAAGAACUGGAAACCCAGAUCUGGAGAGUACCAAUACAGGCACAGGCCUGAUAAAUCUGGGCUCACAAGUGAGGCUGCACAUGAACUCCUGAGCCCACAGCCCCAGCAAGCCAUGGGACAAUGAGAAGCUGGUCAGGAAGACAAAAGUUUUAGUAGUGAAGCUUGGAAUACUGAAAUCCCAUCUGUGAACCCUAAAUCAGUGCCAUCUCAGGCAUGGGUCCUGCCCGCAGAGCUACAACUUCCAGGUCCUGCUCUGCCCAGCAGGUACCUCUGUGCAACAGAACAGCUUCAUUUUCCUCCAAGGAAAAUUUCUUAUGGUCAUGGAAGUCCCUUCAUACCACUGCGUUCCAUUUGCAGUUAUUCUGUGGAGGAAUUGAGUCUAAACCAGAGACCAAGGGCUGAUAAAAUCUCAGUUAAAAACAGUUUGACCUGCUGGUUGUAGUCCAAGAGAGUCUGGGUUCUUCCUGCACCACAUCAGAGAGGCAGUGCCCAGGAGAGCAGCUACAGAUUAUUAAAUAGAGGUGUGAUGACCAGGAACUGGAGAAGAUGUUUUCUUCUUCUGACUGGCUUCAUGUUAAUUGUAUAUAUAAAGUUAUAACUUCCGGACUCCACAGUGUCUUUAGAAAUCAGACUGAUUUUUGUGAGCAUUUUUAGAAUGCAGCUGUUUCAGUGUGUAUUUUGUCCAACAUAGAAGAUGUAUGCAACAUAAUUCCUCCACUGUAAUGUUAUCAUCUUUCCUAUUUCUCUUUCCCUUUCAAUGUAAGUGUUCUGCAAAAUCAUGUUAAUAAAAGAUAUGUAUUUGUUUCUCUUUCAACACUUA
This is a long non-coding RNA of Corvus hawaiiensis (hawaiian crow), 1685 nucleotides long. RefSeq lists it as uncharacterized. The transcript has 2 exons. NCBI's taxonomy places the organism in Eukaryota, Metazoa, Chordata, Aves, Passeriformes, Corvidae. The record is from RefSeq and is a predicted model, not a curated record.